AUUGAACGCUGGCGGCAUGCCUUACACAUGCAAGUCGAACGGCAGCACGGGAGCUUGCUCCUGGUGGCGAGUGGCGAACGGGUGAGUAAUACAUCGGAACGUACCCUGAAGUGGGGGAUAACGUAGCGAAAGUUACGCUAAUACCGCAUAUUCUGUGAGCAGGAAAGAGGGGGAUCGCAAGACCUCUUGCUUUAGGAGCGGCCGAUGUCGGAUUAGCUAGUUGGUGAGGUAAAGGCUCACCAAGGCGACGAUCCGUAGCGGGUCUGAGAGGAUGAUCCGCCACACUGGGACUGAGACACGGCCCAGACUCCUACGGGAGGCAGCAGUGGGGAAUUUUUGGACAAUGGGCGCAAGCCUGAUCCAGCCAUGCCGCGUGAGUGAAGAAGGCCUUCGGGUUGUAAAG
Molecule: ribosomal RNA, 403 nt
Filed under: uncultured bacterium
Lineage: Bacteria
Description: bacterial SSU rRNA
Rfam family: Bacterial small subunit ribosomal RNA
Source: RNAcentral